Molecule: ribosomal RNA, 254 nt
Filed under: uncultured bacterium
Lineage: Bacteria
Description: partial 16S ribosomal RNA
Rfam family: Bacterial small subunit ribosomal RNA
Source: RNAcentral
UACAGAGGGUGCGAGCGUUGUUCGGAAUUACUGGGCGUAAAGCGCGCGCAGGCGGCCCUUUAAGUCUGUCGGUCAAACGCCGGGGCUCAACCCCGUGCUCGCCGGAGAUACUGGAGGGCUGGAGACAGGUAGAGGCAGGCGGAAUUCCUGGUGUAGCGGUGAAAUGCGCAGAUAUCAGGAAGAACACCUAUGGCGAAAGCAGCUCUCUGGGACGUUACUGACGCUGAGACGCGAAAGCGUGGGGAGCAAACAGG